GACGAACGCUGGCGGCGUGCUUAACACAUGCAAGUCGAACGGAAAGGCCCUGCUUUUGUGGGGUGCUCGAGUGGCGAACGGGUGAGUAACACGUGAGUAACCUGCCCUUGACUUUGGGAUAACUUCAGGAAACUGGGGCUAAUACCGGAUAGGAGCUCCUGCUGCAUGGUGGGGGUUGGAAAGUUUCGGCGGUUGGGGAUGGUCUCGCGGCUUAUCAGCUUGUUGGUGGGGUAGUGGCUUACCAAGGCUUUGCCGGGUAGCCGGCCUGGGAGGGUGAACGGCGACAUUGGGACUGCGAUACGGCGCAGACUCGUACGGGAGGCAGCAGUGGAGAAUAUUGCACAGUGGGCCGAAGCCUGAUGCAGCAACGCCGCGUGCGGGAUGACGGCCUUCGGGUUGUAAACCGCUUUCGCCUGUGACGAAGCGUGAGUGACGGUAAUGGGUAAAGAAGCAACGGCUAACUACGUG
This 468-nucleotide ribosomal RNA is filed under the name uncultured bacterium. Its description in RNAcentral is "partial 16S ribosomal RNA". It matches the Rfam family "Bacterial small subunit ribosomal RNA", at positions 28 to 507 of the family's 1533-position model. The record is from RNAcentral.